CCUACGGGAGGCAGCAGUGAGGCAUCUUGGUCAAUGGACGAGAGUCUGAACCAGCCAAGUCGCGUGAAGGAUGACUGCCCUAUGGGUUGUAAACUUCUUUUAUAUGGGAGUAAAAUGUUCCACGUGUGGGAUUUUGUAUGUACCAUAUGAAUAAGGAUCGGCUAACUCCGUGCCAGCAGCCGCGGUAAUACGGAGGAUACGAGCGUUAUCCGGAUUUAUUGGGUUUAAAGGGAGCGUAGGUGGAUUGUUAAGUCAGUUGUGAAAUGUUGCGGAUGAACCGUAAAAUUGCAGUUGAAACUGGGAGUCUUGAGUACAGUAGAGGUGGGCGGAAUUCGUGGUGUAGCGGUGAAAUGCUUAGAUAUCACGAAGAACUCCGAUUGCGAAGGCAGUUCACUGGACUGCAACUGACACUGAGGCUCGAAAGUGUGGGUAUCAAACAGGAUUAGAUACCCGUGUAGUC
Molecule: ribosomal RNA, 460 nt
Filed under: uncultured bacterium
Lineage: Bacteria
Description: partial 16S ribosomal RNA
Rfam family: Bacterial small subunit ribosomal RNA
Source: RNAcentral